AAAAUAUGUUAAGUUUGGCCAUUAAAUUUAAUGGCACGAGAAUAAAAUUGGAAAAGUAGAUUUUUUAUGAAUUAAAAUAAAGAAAAAAUUCUUUUCACUUUUUUCUCUUUUUUAUUCUUUCUUUAUUAUAUUCUUCUUUCCUCUGUCUUCGUGUCUGGUGGAGUGUGGAGCUUAUGGCUCUUCUCUUUUUGGUCUUGGGUUUGCGAAUAUACUGGUAGCCAACCAUUUGCAUCCCUCCAAACUUCUCAACACGUCAUCUUUCUCCAAGCUUUAAUGGUUCCAUAGCAACUGCGCCAACAACUUGCGGCUGCGAUCGAUGGUGCGGCUGCGUUGUUGCUCCAAAUCAUUGUAGCUUCUUGCACGCAACGAUCUGCGCUCCGAUUGCAGCCAUGCGAUGCUUCUGUAUCAACGCAAACGCCGUCCCUGCUACUUCCCCCACCAUCGUUCACGAAGCUUUUGCCACCGCCACUUAGUCAUUUUAGGGUUUAAAAUUAACAACUAGAUUAGUUUUGUUUGGUUUGAUUAAUUUGUUUUUUAUUAGAUUUUAAGUAGGUAUUAUGUUGUAUGAAGUUGAAACAUCCAAGUGCUCCAUCUUAUUUCACGAAUUCAUUGUAAUGGUGGAGUCAAGUUUGUUCAAAAUGCAGCUAUUUUAUUUUUAAUUUAAGUAUAUAUUAUUCUAAGAAAAUGAUAAAUAUUGGAUAUAUUUAAAUAUUUUAAAUUAUCAAUUAUUUUACUAUUUUACCCCUUAACUUUAUGUUUGGGAAGAAAAAUAUACAAAAAUGGCUUUUAAUAAAAAAGAAUUAUUAAGAACAAAAAAUAAGUAAGAUUAAAAUUUAUAACAAG
Molecule: long non-coding RNA, 843 nt
Filed under: Citrus maxima (pomelo)
Lineage: Eukaryota; Viridiplantae; Streptophyta; Magnoliopsida; Sapindales; Rutaceae
Description: long non-coding RNA (CMAX_LNC000686)
Source: RNAcentral